UAGGGAAUCUUCGGCAAUGGACGAAAGUCUGACCGAGCAACGCCGCGUGAGUGAAGAAGGUUUUCGGAUCGUAAAACUCUGUUGGUAGAGAAGAACGUUGGUGAGAGUGGAAAGCUCAUCAAGUGACGGUAACUACCCAGAAAAGGGGACGGCUAACUACGUGCCAGCAGCCGCGGUAAUACGUAGGUCCCGAGCGUUGUCCGGAUUUAUUGGGCGUAAAGCGAGCGCAGGUGGUUUAUUAAGUCUGGUGUAAAAAGGGCAGUGGCUCAACCAUUGUAUGCAUUGGAAACUGGUAGACUUGAGUGCAGGAGAGGAGAGUGGAAUUCCAUGUGUAGCGGUGAAAUGCGUAGAUAUAUUGGAGGAACACCGGUGGCGAAAGCGGCUCUCUGGCCUGUAACUGACACUGAGGCUCGAAAGCGUGGGGAGCAAACA
This 432-nucleotide ribosomal RNA is filed under the name uncultured Lactococcus sp. RNAcentral's name for it is "bacterial SSU rRNA". It matches the Rfam family "Bacterial small subunit ribosomal RNA", at positions 355 to 774 of the family's 1533-position model. The record is from RNAcentral. Lineage: Bacteria; Bacillati; Bacillota; Bacilli; Lactobacillales; Streptococcaceae.